GACGAACGCUGGCGGCGUGCUUAACACAUGCAAGUCGAACGGAAAGGCCCUGCUUUUGUGGGGUGCUCGAGUGGCGAACGGGUGAGUAACACGUGAGUAACCUGCCCUUGACUUUGGGAUAACUUCAGGAAACUGGGGCUAAUACCGGAUAUGAGCUCCUGCUGCAUGGUGGGGGUUGGAAAGUUUCGGCGGUUGGGGAUGGACUCGCGGCUUAUCAGCUUGUUGGUGGGGUAGUGGCUUACCAAGGCUUUGACGGGUAGCCGGCCUGAGAGGGUGACAGGCCACAUUGGGACUGAGAUACGGCCCAGACUCAUACGGGAGGCAGCAGUGGGGAAUAUUGCACAAUGGGAGGAAGCCUGAUGCAGCAACGCCGCGUGCGGGAUGACGGCCUUCGGGUUGUAAACCGCUUUCGCCUGUGACGAAGCGUGAGUGACGGUAAUGGGUAAAGAAGCACCGGCUAACUACGUG
This 468-nucleotide ribosomal RNA is filed under the name uncultured bacterium. Its description in RNAcentral is "partial 16S ribosomal RNA". It matches the Rfam family "Bacterial small subunit ribosomal RNA", at positions 28 to 507 of the family's 1533-position model. The record is from RNAcentral.